AGAACGAACGCUGGCGGCAGGCCUAACACAUGCAAGUCGAACGGGCGUAGCAAUACGUCAGUGGCGGACGGGUGAGUAACACGUGGGAAUAUGCCUUUCGGUUCGGAACAACUCGGGGAAACCCGUGCUAAUUCCGGAUACGCCCUUACGGGGAAAGAUUUAUCGCCGAAAGAUUAGCCCGCGUUGGAUUAGCUAGUUGGUGAGGUAAAGGCUCACCAAGGCAACGAUCCAUAGCUGGUUUGAGAGAACGACCAGCCACACUGGGACUGAGACACGGCCCAGACUCCUACGGGAGGCAGCAGUGGGGAAUCUUGGACAAUGGAGGAAACUCUGAUCCAGCCAUGCCGCGUGAGUGAUGAAGGCCUUCGGGUUGUAAAACUCUUUCGACGGGGACGAUAAUGACGGUACCCGUAGAAGAAGCUCCGGCUAACUUCGUGCCAGCAGCCGC
RNAcentral lists this ribosomal RNA (448 nucleotides) under uncultured bacterium. Its description in RNAcentral is "SSU rRNA". It matches the Rfam family "Bacterial small subunit ribosomal RNA", at positions 26 to 518 of the family's 1533-position model. The record is from RNAcentral.